UACACUCCUACGGGAGGCAGCAGUGGGGAAUUUUGGACAAUGGGCGAAAGCCUGAUCCAGCAAUGCCGCGUGUGUGAAGAAGGCCUUCGGGUUGUAAAGCACUUUUGUCCGGAAAGAAAUCCUUGGCUCUAAUACAGUCGGGGGAUGACGGUACCGGAAGAAUAAGCACCGGCUAACUACGUGCCAGCAGCCGCGGUAAUACGUAGGGUGCGAGCGUUAAUCGGAAUUACUGGGCGUAAAGCGUGCGCAGGCGGUUUGCUAAGACCGAUGUGAAAUCCCCGGGCUCAACCUGGGAACUGCAUUGGUGACUGGCAGGCUAGAGUAUGGCAGAGGGGGGUAGAAUUCCACGUGUAGCAGUGAAAUGCGUAGAGAUGUGGAGGAAUACCGAUGGCGAAGGCAGCCCCCUGGGCCAAUACUGACGCUCAUGCACGAAAGCGUGGGGAGCAAACAGGAUUAGAUACCCUGGUAGUCCCAUGA
This 477-nucleotide ribosomal RNA is filed under the name uncultured organism. Its description in RNAcentral is "partial 16S ribosomal RNA". It matches the Rfam family "Bacterial small subunit ribosomal RNA", at positions 332 to 800 of the family's 1533-position model. The record is from RNAcentral.